GACGAACGCUGGCGGCAUGCCUAACACAUGCAAGUCGAACGGAGUAAGAGAGAAGCUUGCUUAGCUCUUACUUAGUGGCGGACGGGUGAGUAACGCGUGAGUAACCUGCCUUUCAGAGGGGGAUAACGUUCUGAAAAGAACGCUAAUACCGCAUAAUAUAUCGGUGCUGCAUGGUACUGAUAUCAAAGGAGCAAUCCGCUGAAAGAUGGACUCGCGUCCGAUUAGCCAGUUGGCGGGGUAAAGGCCCACCAAAGCGACGAUCGGUAGCCGGGUUGAGAGACUGAACGGCCACAUUGGGACUGAGACACGGCCCAGACUCCUACGGGAGGCAGCAGUGGGGGAUAUUGCACAAUGGAGGAAACUCUGAUGCAGCAAUGCCGCGUGAGGGAAGACGGUCUUCGGAUUGUAAACCUCUGUCCUUGGUGAAGAUAAUGACGGUAGCCAAGGAGGAAGCUCCGGCUAACUACGUG
RNAcentral lists this ribosomal RNA (470 nucleotides) under uncultured organism. RNAcentral's name for it is "bacterial SSU rRNA". It matches the Rfam family "Bacterial small subunit ribosomal RNA", at positions 28 to 507 of the family's 1533-position model. The record is from RNAcentral.